RNAcentral lists this ribosomal RNA (686 nucleotides) under uncultured bacterium. RNAcentral describes it as "bacterial SSU rRNA". It matches the Rfam family "Bacterial small subunit ribosomal RNA", at positions 54 to 745 of the family's 1533-position model. The record is from RNAcentral.
CAUGCAAGUCGAGCGAGAAAGUGACUUCGGUCACGAGUAAAGCGGCGAACGGGUGAGUACAACGUGGAUAAUCUACCCUAGGGUCUGGGACAACCCCGAGAAAUCGGAGCUAAUACCGGAUAAGACCACAGUAUCCAAGGAUACAGUGGUAAAAGAUUUAUCGCCUUUGGAUGAGUCCACGUCCCAUCAGGUAGUUGGUAAGGUAAAAGCUUACCAAGCCUAAGACGGGUAGCCGGCCUUAGCGGGCGAACGGCCACAUGGGGACUGAGACACGGCCCUGACUCCUACGGGAGGCAGCAGUGGGGAAUAUUGGGCAAUGGGCGAAAGCCUGACCCAGCGAUGCCGCGUGAGGGAUGAAGGCCUUCGGGUCGUAAACCUCUGUCAGGAGGGACGAUGGGACACUUGUGUCUUGACGGUACCUCCAGAGGAAGCCCCGGCUAACUCCGUGCCAGCAGCCGCGGUAAUACGGAGGGGGCAAGCGUUGCUCGGAAUUACUGGGCGUAAAGGGUCCGCAGGCUGUCAGGCAAGUUGGUUGUGAAAGCUCAAGGCUUAACCUUGGAAUUGCAUCCAAAACUGCCUGACUAGAGUCCAAGAGAGGUUGGCGGAAUUCCCGGUGUAGCGGUGAAAUGCAUAGAUAUCGGGAGGAACACCAGAGGCGAAGGCGGCCAACUGGCUUGGAACUGACG